Molecule: ribosomal RNA, 465 nt
Filed under: uncultured bacterium
Lineage: Bacteria
Description: partial 16S ribosomal RNA
Rfam family: Bacterial small subunit ribosomal RNA
Source: RNAcentral
GACGAACGCUGGCGGCGUGCUUAACACAUGCAAGUCGAACGGAAAGGCCCUGCUUGCAGGGUACUCGAGUGGCGAACGGGUGAGUAACACGUGGGUGAUCUGCCCUGCACUUCGGGAUAAGCCUGGGAAACUGGGUCUAAUACCGGAUAGGAGCCAUUUUUAGUGGGAUGGUUGGAAAGUUUUUUCGGGGUAGGAUGAGCUCGCGGCCUAUCAGCUUGUUGGUGGGGUAAUGGCCUACCAAGGCGGCGACGGGUAGCCGGCCUGGGAGGGUGGACGGCCACAUUGGGACUGAGAUGCGGCCCCGACUCCUACGGGAGGCAGAAGUGGGGAAUCUUGCACCAGGGGCGCCAGCCUGGUGCAGCGACGCCGCGGGGGGGAGGACGGCCUUCGGGUUGUAAACUCCUUUCGCUAGGGACGAAGCUUUUUGUGACGGUACCUAGAUAAGAAGCACCGGCUAACUACGUG